Molecule: ribosomal RNA, 460 nt
Filed under: uncultured bacterium
Lineage: Bacteria
Description: partial 16S ribosomal RNA
Rfam family: Bacterial small subunit ribosomal RNA
Source: RNAcentral
CCUACGGGAGGCAGCAGUGAGGAAUAUUGGUCAAUGGACGAGAGUCUGAACCAGCCAAGUAGCGUGAAGGAUGACUGCCCUAUGGGUUGUAAACUUCUUUUAUAUGGGAAUAAAACGUUCCACGUGUGGGAUUUUGUAUGUACCAUAUGAAUAAGGAACAGCUAACUCCGUGCCAGCAGCCGCGGUAAUACGGAGGGUCCGAGCGUUAUCCGGAUUUAUUGGGUUUAAAGGGAGCGUAGGUGGAUUGUUAAGUCAGUUGUGAAAGUUUGCGGCUCAACCGUAGAAUUGCAGUUGAAACUGGCAGUCUUGAGUACAGUAGAGGUGGGCGGAAUUCGUGGUGUAGCGGUGAAAUGCGUAGAUAUCACGAAGAACUCCGAUUGCGAAGGCAGUUCACUGGACUGCAACUGACACUGAGGCUCGAAAGUGUGGGUAUCAAACAGGAUUAGAUACCCGAGUAGUC